RNAcentral lists this ribosomal RNA (165 nucleotides) under Enterobacter hormaechei subsp. xiangfangensis. RNAcentral's name for it is "partial 23S ribosomal RNA". It matches the Rfam family "Bacterial large subunit ribosomal RNA", at positions 1135 to 1298 of the family's 2925-position model. The record is from RNAcentral. Lineage: Bacteria; Pseudomonadati; Pseudomonadota; Gammaproteobacteria; Enterobacterales; Enterobacteriaceae.
UAAUAGCUCACUGGUCGAGUCGGCCUGCGCGGAAGAUGUAACGGGGCUAAACCAUGCACCGAAGCUGCGGCAGCGACGCUUAUGUGUUGUUGGGUAGGGGAGCGUUCUGUAAGCCGUUGAAGGUGUGCUGUGAGGCAUGCUGGAGGUAUCAGAAGUGCGAAUGUC